UGGGGAAUAUUGCGCAAUGGGCGAAAGCCUGACGCAGCGACGCCGCGUGAGGGAUGAAGGUUUUCGGAUCGUAAACCUCUGUCAGAAGGGAAGAAACCGCACUGUGCUAAUCAGCAGUGCCUUGACGGUACCUUCAAAGGAAGCACCGGCUAACUCCGUGCCAGCAGCCGCGGUAAUACGGAGGGUGCAAGCGUUAAUCGGAAUUACUGGGCGUAAAGCGCACGUAGGCUGCUUUGUAAGUCAGGGGUGAAAUCCCACGGCUCAACCGUGGAACUGCCUUUGAUACUGGUUAGCUUGAAUCCGGGAGAGGGUGGCGGAAUUCCAGGUGUAGGAGUGAAAUCCGUAGAUAUCUGGAGGAACAUCAGUGGCGAAGGCGGCCACCUGGACCGGUAUUGACGCUGAGGUGCGAAAGCGUGGGGAGCAAACAGG
RNAcentral lists this ribosomal RNA (429 nucleotides) under Fusobacteriota bacterium. RNAcentral describes it as "Fusobacteria bacterium partial 16S ribosomal RNA". It matches the Rfam family "Bacterial small subunit ribosomal RNA", at positions 355 to 776 of the family's 1533-position model. The record is from RNAcentral. Lineage: Bacteria; Fusobacteriati; Fusobacteriota.